UACGUAGGGUGCGAGCGUUAAUCGGAAUUACUGGGCGUAAAGCGCACGCAGGCGGUUGGAUAAGUUAGAUGUGAAAGCCCCGGGCUCAACCUGGGAAUUGCAUUUAAAACUGUCCAGCUAGAGUCUUGUAGAGGGGGGUAGAAUUCCAGGUGUAGCGGUGGAAUGCGUAGAGAUCUGGAGGAAUACCGGUGGCGAAGGCGGCCCCCUGGACAAAGACUGACGCUCAGGUGCGAAAGCGUGGGGAGCAAACAGG
This 253-nucleotide ribosomal RNA is filed under the name uncultured bacterium. RNAcentral's name for it is "partial 16S ribosomal RNA". It matches the Rfam family "Bacterial small subunit ribosomal RNA", at positions 524 to 776 of the family's 1533-position model. The record is from RNAcentral.